Molecule: long non-coding RNA, 546 nt
Filed under: Cricetulus griseus (Chinese hamster)
Lineage: Eukaryota; Metazoa; Chordata; Mammalia; Rodentia; Cricetidae
Description: lncRNA (ENSCGRG00015037306.1)
Source: RNAcentral
CUCUGUAGACCUGACUGGACUUGAACUCACAGAAAUCCACUUGCUAUUGCCUCCUGAGUGCUGGGAUUAAAGGCAUGCACCACCAUGACCAGGCUGCAGUUUUGUCCUGUUGAUGGUGUCCUUUGCCUUACAGAAGAUUUUCAGUUUCAUGAGCUUGAUACAAGAUAGGGUCAUCUGGGGAGAGGGAACCUCAAUUGAGAAAAUGCCUCCAUCACAUUGGCUUACAGAGUCUUCUGUAGCCUCGGCUGGUCUCAAACUUGCUGUGCCACCAAGGAUGACAUUGAACUCCCAAUCCACCUGCCUUCACUCCCCAGAUGCUGGGAUUACAGGUGUGCUCUGACAAACCUGGAGAACAAAGCCAGGGAUUCACGUGUGCCAGACAAGCGCUCCCAGCUGUGUCCCCAGCCUCCAGUGGCCUGCUAACACACCACAUGCCUUUUCUGGAUAUCCUGAUUGGUCUUCAAAGCUUUGCAAGUGACUCCAACACAGACACAGCAAGAGCCUCUGCCUUUGGGAACGCAAGACAUGGGCCAUCAAGUCUCCCUG